Molecule: long non-coding RNA, 1226 nt
Filed under: Panax ginseng (ginseng)
Lineage: Eukaryota; Viridiplantae; Streptophyta; Magnoliopsida; Apiales; Araliaceae
Description: long non-coding RNA (PGIN_LNC016723)
Source: RNAcentral
UGCAAUAUUUUGGUCCGCCAAACUUAUUGGAUCAGGUAUUCCUUGUGGUGUGGUGUGCCGCCUUCAAACAUUAAAUAAAUACUCCAAUAAUUUUCUUUUCUGAGUUUUAAAAUAAAUCAAAAAAAAAUGAUAAAAAAGCUGAUCAUUUUCCUUGUCUAAAAAUAAAUAAAGGUCUCUUUAUCUAUUAAAAUACGGCAUUUCCUUUAAUUAUACCAGUUUUAUGUUUUAUUUUCAUAAAAGAUACUCCCUCCCUACUAACAAACAAUAAAUGUUUUAAUUUAUAAAAGAGUAAAUCUAUAUGUACAUCACAUUUACCUUUUAAGAAUAAAGUUAUUUUGAAAUUUUUUCCCCUACAAUUCAAGUUGUUUUUGCUUCUCCUCUUUGGUCGCCCAAAUAUUUCUCUCUCCUCUUAAUUUCCCUACUUGCAGCACAAAGCAGAUUCGCCCAAAAUAAAGCUUCAAAAUGCAAAGAAAGGGCCCCCAAAAAUCAGGAAAACCAAAUUAGCUGGAAAACAGGACGGAGGCCAUGAAUACCGGCAAGACCAAAAGCACAUCCCAGAAAUCAAAUACCCAAAGCUGUCGGACAGACCCCACGAGCAGCUGGAGCCGAGAAGCCAAAUCGGCUAAACGAUGGGUCAUCGGAGAAAUCCAAUGCUCAGCAAGAAAAGAGGAUUCUCAAAACACCCAUCAUCAAAUCAGAUCAUCAAUCAAGAUAAGAAUUAAAAGCAAAUAUGGUUUAAUUAUGGAUACAUAGACCAAUAUAUAGCCACCAAACGUAGCUUCAACAGAUCACAGCAUUGAUUAGAUACCAAAUGAAUACAAAAUUUAUUAGAUACCACAUGUCAUUUUAUGAUGUAGAUACAAUCUUGCUGGAUGAAGAGUUUAAACUUAAAUCAUCAAUCAAGAGGAAAGGAUUGUUUAGUCAAAAUUUUCAAAAUAUUGAAUGGGAUAAAACUGAUUGAUUAGCUUUGCACUGCUCCUGACUUUUGAUUUUGGGGGCACACGGUUUUGGAUGGUUGUUUGCGUAUGGGUUUCGGCAAGCAGUGAAUUCAAGAGGAGAGAGAAAUAUUUGGGCGAUGAAAGAGGAGAAACAAAAGCAACUUGAAUUGUCGAAAAAAAUAUAUUCCAAAACGACUUUAUUCCCUGCGUUUCGGCAAGCAGGGAGUAAAUGUGAUGUACAUGUAGAUUUACUCUUUAUAAAAUUGAUAAUUUCACAAAUUAAGGAAC